GGGACCGGAGAUGGCGCCACCCUAACGCCUCAGGGAGCCCGAGCCGCUGCCACCACCAGCAUUAUCAACAGACUAGGCCCUGCCAGGGACGCGCGCACACACUCCCUGGUGGCUGGGGUGGGCGGGUUGCGACUAUAGAACAGAACACACACGGAAGAGCUGUGGUCCCAGGGUCUGACGUUAUCUUGAAGCAAGCAGGUCUAGGUCCGGCCAGUCAGUGCCUGGAUGGGAGACUGCCUAGGAAUCCCACAUAACACCGCAUUGAGUUCCAGGAUGCCAGAAAGGCGAGGCAUACGUGUAAUAAAUAAUAAUAGGUAACCACAGGCAUAUUCAGAGAAGGCUGUGCUGAACAAAUUGAACUUGAGAGAAGAGAGGAUUUAUAAAGCAACUGCAGGAGAUACUUGUAAUAAAAUAUCUCCAGUGUUUCUGUUGUAAAAUGAGGGAUUUAGACAGAGGUAAUAAAUGUUUUGGGGAUGGUGGACAUUCAGAGCAGUAGUCAAAGUUUACUGCUUUGUGACUAAUCGUUACCUUUCAAAGGAAUUCAGAAUGGUCAACUAUGACCUCACAAUGUCUGUGGUGUAUCAGAGCAGUAACAUAAAUGGUCACCACAAAUGCACACACAAAAUAUCAUCCUGCAGCACCCACCACUUCAGUGAUUUUUCUGAAUGUAUAGAAUUUGACAUUAGCUUAUCUUUAUUAUGAAAAUACGGUUUCCUCCACCCCCGAGGUAUUGGCUUUUUUUUUUUUUUGCUGAAGUAUGCACUUCCCUGCUACUGUUUCCGUUCAAUAAGCUCAGCCAGAGACAAAUAUCAUAAAAGGCAUCAUCAUAAUUACUGGUCAUGGUUAAGCUUCAUAAUUUCCAUUCUGGCUUUGAGCAGAUCACUACUGAUUCCAUAUAAAAGCAUUAGAUUUUCCUUUAGUAUUAAAUUGUGGUUUAUUAAAUACGCAGAAUCACUAUUUUUUGUAGUUGUUCCCCACCAUUACAUAAAAAAACAAACAUGCACAAGAAAUUUGUCGUGUAGUCUUCGUUUUCUAAAGCAUGCCCAAUUCUGACAAACCAUAAUAUUAAAGAAACACGAAAAUAAGCUACCCAUUAGAUUAUAGCAAACUAGUUCAAGAGCUUUACCUUGUCUUUGAGAUCUUAUGACUAUGCAAUUCAUCUUGCAGCUAUGAGGGGAAACAGUCAGAGAUUAUGAGAGAAGCAGUUUGCUGACAAGUUGCAAUUAGUGAUACCCAUUGUUUACUCAAUUUGGAUUACACAGCAAACUAUUUUUACUGUUCCCAGAAGUGCAGGAGGUAAUUGGAGUGUGUAAGAGGAAAAGGGAACAUGUGAGAAGAGUGCUCUUGACAAAACUCAACCCAAUGAGUUAUUUUUGUGACUGUUUUUGGUUUUUUUUAAAGAACGAACACAGGAAGAUAUAAAUAACGGACAAAACAAUUGUGAUAUUUAGUAAGAUGUGUAAUCUAGUACACCAAAACAUUUUAGUGAAGAGUCAGGCAUACCUGCACAAAAAAGUAAGACAUAUAGCCUGUUCUAUUAGCAAAAGUGUGUGUAAGUUUACAUAAUCUUUUACUAACAGAAGCUGCUCUAACAAUUCUAUUAAAAAGUUAACGUUAUCUAA
This is a long non-coding RNA of Hemicordylus capensis (graceful crag lizard), 1622 nucleotides long. RefSeq lists it as uncharacterized. NCBI's taxonomy places the organism in Eukaryota, Metazoa, Chordata, Lepidosauria, Squamata, Cordylidae. The transcript has 2 exons. The record is from RefSeq and is a predicted model, not a curated record.